UUAGUCUUAUAAUUUAAGACUGGAAUGAAAGGGUCCAUUAAAGAGGCUUUAUUUAUAAAAUAAACUUUAAAUUUUACCUUUUAGUAAAAAGGCUAAAAUAAAUCUUAUAGACAAGAAGACCCUAUAAAUCUUUACACCCGAAAAUCCCAAAAAUUAUAAGUGUGUUUAACUGGGGCGGUAAAAGAUACACACAUCUUUAAACAAUUAAAACAAAAUUCCCAUACCUAGAACUUCUAAAAAUAAAACAAGUUACUUUAGGGAUAACAGCGUCAUGUUCUUUGAAAGCUCAAAUUGACAAGAACGUUUGCGACCUCGAUGUUGAAUUGGGUUACCUUUACCAUUGCGCAAGAGCAAAAAU
Molecule: ribosomal RNA, 358 nt
Filed under: Chaneke hofereki
Lineage: Eukaryota; Metazoa; Arthropoda; Arachnida; Scorpiones; Buthidae
Description: partial large subunit ribosomal RNA
Rfam family: Archaeal large subunit ribosomal RNA
Source: RNAcentral